CCUAGAACUCACUUUGUAGACCAGGCUCGCCUUGAACUCACUGAGAUCUGCCUGCCUCUGCCUCCCAAGUGCUGGGA
Molecule: microRNA precursor, 77 nt
Filed under: Cricetulus griseus (Chinese hamster)
Lineage: Eukaryota; Metazoa; Chordata; Mammalia; Rodentia; Cricetidae
Description: miRNA (ENSCGRG00000021492.1)
Source: RNAcentral